GACGAACGCUGGCGGCGUGCUUAACACAUGCAAGUCGAACGGAAAGGCCCUGCUUUUGUGGGGUUCUCGAGUGGCGAACGGGCGAGUAACACGUGAGUAACCUGCCCUUGACUUUGGGGUAACUUCAGGAAACUGGGGCUACUACCGGAUCGGAGCUCCUGCUGCAUGGUGGGGGUUGGAAAGUUUCGGCGGUUGGGGAUGGACUCGCGGCUUAUCAGCUUGUUGGUGGGGUAGUGGCUUACCAAGGCUUUGACGGGUAGCCGGCCUGGGAGGGUGACCGGGCACAAUGGGACUGAGAGACGGACCAGAGUGCUACGGGAGGCAGCAGGGGGGAAUAUUGCACAAUGGGCGGAAGCGUGAUGCAGCAACGCCGCGUGCGGGAUGACGGCCUUCGGGGUGUGAACCGCUUUCGGCUGUGACGAAGCGUGAGUGACGGUAAUGGGUAAAGAAGCACCGGCUAACUACGUG
Molecule: ribosomal RNA, 468 nt
Filed under: uncultured bacterium
Lineage: Bacteria
Description: partial 16S ribosomal RNA
Rfam family: Bacterial small subunit ribosomal RNA
Source: RNAcentral